Molecule: non-coding RNA, 29 nt
Filed under: Mus musculus (house mouse)
Lineage: Eukaryota; Metazoa; Chordata; Mammalia; Rodentia; Muridae
Source: RNAcentral
UCCUGCGAUUUUUGUGCUCUAGAAAUGUC